CUACGGGUUGCUGCAGUGAGGAAUAUUGCACAAUGGGGGGAACCCUGAUGCAGCAACGCCGCGUGGAGGAUGACGCAUUUCGGUGUGUAAACUCCUUUUAUAUGUCAAGAAAAUGGCGGUAGCAUAUGAAUAAGCACCGGCUAACUCCGUGCCAGCAGCCGCGGUAAUACGGAGGGUGCAAGCGUUACUCGGAAUCACUGGGCGUAAAGGACGCGUAGGCGGGUUGGAAAGUCAGGUGGGAAAUCCUACAGCUUAACUGUAGAACGGCACUUGAAACUUCUAAUCUAGAGUAUGGGAGGGGGAGAUGGAAUUAGUGGUGUAGGGGUAAAAUCCGUAGAUAUCACUAGGAAUACCUAAAGCGAAGGCGAUCUCCUGGAACAUUACUGACGCUAAGGCGUGAAAGCGUGGGGAGCAAACAGGAUUAGAUACCCUAGUAGUC
Molecule: ribosomal RNA, 439 nt
Filed under: uncultured bacterium
Lineage: Bacteria
Description: partial 16S ribosomal RNA
Rfam family: Bacterial small subunit ribosomal RNA
Source: RNAcentral